This 432-nucleotide ribosomal RNA is filed under the name uncultured bacterium. Its description in RNAcentral is "partial 16S ribosomal RNA". It matches the Rfam family "Bacterial small subunit ribosomal RNA", at positions 29 to 507 of the family's 1533-position model. The record is from RNAcentral.
AACGAACGCUGGCGGCAUGCCUAACACAUGCAAGUCGAACGAGACCUUCGGGUCUAGUGGCGCACGGGUGCGUAACGCGUGGGAACCUGCCCUUAGGUUCGGAAUAACUCCCCGAAAGGGGUGCUAAUACCGGAUAAUGUCUUCGGACCAAGAUUUAUCGCCUUUGGGUGGGCCCGCGUUGGAUUAGCUAGUUGGUAGGGUAAAAGCCUACCAAGGCGACGAUCCAUAGCUGGUCUGAGAGGAUGAUCAGCCACACUGGGACUGAGACACGGCCCAGACUCCUACGGGAGGCAGCAGUGGGGAAUAUUGGACGAUGGGCGAAAGCCUGAUCCAGCAAUGCCGCGUGAGUGAUGAAGGCCUUAGGGUUGUAAAGCUCUUUUACCCGGGAUGAUAAUGACAGUACCGGGAGAAUAAGCUCCGGCUAACUCCGUA